Molecule: ribosomal RNA, 253 nt
Filed under: uncultured bacterium
Lineage: Bacteria
Description: partial 16S ribosomal RNA
Rfam family: Bacterial small subunit ribosomal RNA
Source: RNAcentral
AACGUAGACCUCAAGCGUUAUCCGGAUUUAUUGGGCGUACAGCGCGUGUAGGCGGCCUUGCAAGUCGGAUGUGAAAGCCCUCGGCUCAACCGGGGAAGUGCACCCGAAACUGCAAGGCUCGAGUUCCGGAGAGGAUAGUGGAAUUCUCGGUGUAGAGGUGAAAUUCGUAGAUAUCGAGAGGAACACCGGUGGCGAAGGCGGCUAUCUGGACGGUGACUGACGCUGAGACGCGAAAGCGUGGGGAGCAAACAGG